CACCAGUGUUGAGGAGUGGGGAAGCUCAUUUCCCAAGUCCUGCUGGCCACACUAUUUCUGACACAAGACAGGAUGCCAUUGGCCUUCUUGGCACCUGGGCACAAUGCUGGCCCAUGUUCAGCUAACUGUUGAACAGCACCCCUAGAUCCUUUUGGCCAGGCACUUUUCCAGCCACUCUUCUCCCAGUCCGUAGUGCUGCCUGGGGUUGUUGUGACCCAAAGGCAGAACCCGGCACUUUGCCUUGUAGAACCUCAUACCGCUGGCCUCAAUCCAUCAAUCCAGCCUGUCC
Molecule: long non-coding RNA, 289 nt
Organism: Empidonax traillii (willow flycatcher)
Lineage: Eukaryota; Metazoa; Chordata; Aves; Passeriformes; Tyrannidae
Exons: 5
Source: RefSeq, a predicted model, not a curated record